Molecule: ribosomal RNA, 426 nt
Filed under: uncultured soil bacterium
Lineage: Bacteria
Description: bacterial SSU rRNA
Rfam family: Bacterial small subunit ribosomal RNA
Source: RNAcentral
GAACCUUACCUGGGCUCGAAAUGUUAUGGACCGGGGUAGAAAUAUCCCUUCCCAGCAAUGGGCCGUAAUAUAGGUGCUGCAUGGCUGUCGUCAGCUCGUGUCGUGAGAUGUUGGGUUAAGUCCCGCAACGAGCGCAACCCUUAUCCCCAGUUGCCAUCAUUUAGUUGGGCACUCUGGUGAAACCGCCUCGGAUAACGGGGAGGAAGGUGGGGAUGACGUCAAGUCCUCAUGGCCUUUAUGUCCAGGGCUACACACGUGCUACAAUGGCCGGUACAAACCGUCGCAAACCCGCGAGGGGGAGCUAAUCGGAAAAAGCCGGCCUCAGUUCGGAUCGCAGUCUGCAACUCGACUGCGUGAAGCUGGAAUCGCUAGUAAUCGCGGAUCAGAAUGCCGCGGUGAAUACGUUCCCGGGCCUUGUCACACCGA